Molecule: ribosomal RNA, 157 nt
Filed under: Pimenta dioica (allspice)
Lineage: Eukaryota; Viridiplantae; Streptophyta; Magnoliopsida; Myrtales; Myrtaceae
Description: 5.8S ribosomal RNA
Rfam family: 5.8S ribosomal RNA
About the family: 5.8S ribosomal RNA (5.8S rRNA) is a component of the large subunit of the eukaryotic ribosome.
Source: RNAcentral
UAACGACUCUCGGCAACGGAUAUCUCGGCUCUCGCAUCGAUGAAGAACGUAGCGAACUGCGAUACUUGGUGUGAAUUGCAGAAUCCCGUGAACCAUCGAGUCUUUGAACGCAAGUUGCGCCCGAAGCCACGGCCAGGGCACGUUUGCCUGGGUGUCA